UUGACAAAACUAACUGACCUGCAUUUUAGCCAUAGAGAGACUACGUAACGGUCACCUGACCCAUGGUCAUGUGACGUACUUUGUUUACGUCGUCAAGGUGAUGCGGUCAUGUGAAGCGCACUACCCGAAAGUGACGCAUUUGGCGUCCCGGCUGAUCGCCAGGUCCAUUAGGCUAUUUAAGAGAGGGCUAGGGUGAUGGUAGUUGUCUGCGGCGUGGAUCAUCAGCCGCAGAACAGGUUUAUUUUUCCUAAGAAAUGCCGUUUUGGGGAUUGGUAUCUCAUUAGUGACAGCAUAUGGGGGCUUUAGUGUGUAUAUCUGAUGCCUUAAGCUAUACUUUAUCUAGUGGGAUCCUAUUCAGUUCAUAUCUUUGAGGGGAUUCAUCUAUCAGUGAAUCACUGUUUUUUGGCAGAAUUUUUUGGUAUACUAUUGUCUGGAGGACUAAUAAUGCGUAAGACGCUACAAGCAAUUCGUUCAGCCUAUCGUCUGUUUCUACAUAAUCCAGUGAAGGCUUAGUACUAUGUCUAUUUGUGCCACUCUGAGUCUGUAUCGCUACCUGCAUACUUAGAAUUUAUGUGCUUAUGUGAUUUUUUAUGUGCAUGAAUUUUUCUACCAUUCUGUCACAUUAUUCCCCUUCUUUAUGUGCAGUUCUAUAUCUAUAUGUAUUUAUUUGCUUAUUGUAUUUUGUGAUCCCCUGAUGAACCGCUGUAUGUCAUAAGAUAAGUGGGGAAACGCGUUGGGAUAUACAGGUGUUCAUCAUAGGAGAACCUAUAUGUGUAUAUGUUCUUUUAUUAUAUUUUUUCAAAACAUUUUUUCUCUAUACUUGAUGUGGGAUUUUUUAAGGAAUUAAUAAAUGGUUGUUUUAGCUUAAUGAGAUUUUGUAAAUUUUUUUUUUAGUCU
This is a long non-coding RNA of Hyla sarda, 897 nucleotides long. RefSeq lists it as uncharacterized. Lineage: Eukaryota; Metazoa; Chordata; Amphibia; Anura; Hylidae. The record is from RefSeq and is a predicted model, not a curated record. The transcript has 4 exons.